AGAGUUUGAUCCUGGCUCAGGAUGAACGCUGGCGGCGUGCCUAACACAUGCAAGUCGAGCGAUCCUUCUUCGGAAGAGAGCGGCGGACGGGUGAGUAACGCGUGGGUAACCUGCCUCAUACACAUGGAUAACAUACCGAAAGGUAUGCUAAUACAAGAUGAUAUAAGAGAUUCGCAUGGAUUUCUUAUCAAAGCUCCGGCGGUAUGAGAUGGACCCGCGUCUGAUUAGCUAGUUGGUAAGGUAACGGCUUACCAAGGCGACGAUCAGUAGCCGACCUGAGAGGGUGAUCGGCCACAUUGGAACUGAGACACGGUCCAAACUCCUACGGGAGGCAGCAGUGGGGAAUAUUGCACAAUGGGCGAAAGCCUGAUGCAGCAACGCCGCGUGAGCGAUGAAGGCCUUCGGGUCGUAAAGCUCUGUCCUCAAGGAAGAUAAUGACGGUACUUGAGGAGGAAGCCCCGGCUUAACUACGUGCCAGCAGCCGCGGUAAUACGUAGGGGGCUAGCGUUAUCCGGAUUUACUGGGCGUAAAGGGUGCGUAGGUGGUUUCUUAAGUCAGGAGUGAAAGGCUACGGCUCAACCGUAGUAAGCUCUUGAAACUGGGAAACUUGAGUGCAGGAGAGGAAAGUGGAAUUCCUAGUGUAGCGGUGAAAUGCGUAGAUAUUAGGAGGAACACCAGUAGCGAAGGCGGCUUUCUGGACUGUAACUGACACUGAGGCACGAAAGCGUGGGGAGCAAACAGGAUUAGAUACCCUGGUAGUCCACGCCGUAAACGAUGAGUACUAGGUGUCGGGGGUUACCCCCCUCGGUGCCGCAGCAAACGCAUUAAGU
Molecule: ribosomal RNA, 830 nt
Filed under: uncultured bacterium
Lineage: Bacteria
Description: bacterial SSU rRNA
Rfam family: Bacterial small subunit ribosomal RNA
Source: RNAcentral